UACAGAGGUCUCAAGCGUUGUUCGGAUUCAUUGGGCGUAAAGGGUGCGUAGGCGGCGCGGUAAGUCGGGUGUGAAAUCUCGGAGCUUAACUCCGAAACUGCAUUCGAUACUGCCGUGCUUGAGGACUGGAGAGGAGACUGGAAUUUACGGUGUAGCGGUGAAAUGCGUAGAUAUCGUAAGGAAGACCAGUGGCGAAGGCGGGUCUCUGGGCCUUGCCUGACGCUGAGGAGCGAAGGUCAGGGGAGCAAACGGG
RNAcentral lists this ribosomal RNA (253 nucleotides) under uncultured bacterium. Its description in RNAcentral is "partial 16S ribosomal RNA". It matches the Rfam family "Bacterial small subunit ribosomal RNA", at positions 524 to 776 of the family's 1533-position model. The record is from RNAcentral.